This 136-nucleotide ribosomal RNA is filed under the name Vaejovis vorhiesi group sp. RWB-2013. RNAcentral describes it as "partial 28S ribosomal RNA". Lineage: Eukaryota; Metazoa; Arthropoda; Arachnida; Scorpiones; Vaejovidae. The record is from RNAcentral.
GAAGUGUCGAAAGGCAAAACCUCUCUCACUGGGUGACCGGAGAGACGUCCGCUCAGGCGUGCGGCCGCGGAUGUCGCCGGCAGGAGCGGUGGGAGAGAUGUCUUGCUUAACUCUGUCGACCUCAGAUCAGACGAGA